RNAcentral lists this transfer RNA (77 nucleotides) under Brevibacillus brevis. RNAcentral's name for it is "tRNA-Arg". It matches the Rfam family "tRNA". Rfam says of the family: Transfer RNA (tRNA) molecules are approximately 80 nucleotides in length. Lineage: Bacteria; Bacillati; Bacillota; Bacilli; Caryophanales; Paenibacillaceae. RNAcentral also lists the same sequence under 1 other name. The record is from RNAcentral.
GUCCUCGUAGCUCAGCAGGAUAGAGCGUCAGUUUCCUAAACUGUAGGUCGGAGGUUCGAAUCCUCUCGGGGACGCCA